This 8025-nucleotide long non-coding RNA is filed under the name Gossypium barbadense (sea-island cotton). Its description in RNAcentral is "long non-coding RNA (GBAR_LNC013128)". Lineage: Eukaryota; Viridiplantae; Streptophyta; Magnoliopsida; Malvales; Malvaceae. The record is from RNAcentral.
AACACCUUCAUCCUUAAUCAUUUUAAUAACCAUACAUCAUCAAAUACUUACACAUCACUCAUUAGCAAAAUCAUCACUACAAACAUACAAAAUAACUAAAUUCCUAUACAUGUCAUAACUUAAACGUGUUUCGAUAUAAAAUACCGAGCAGUUGUAGUUGAUAGUGUGGACGAUCUCCGACUUCUUUAGGAUCCUUGAAGUAGCUUUGCAAUACUAUAAGAGAAAGAAAUAAAAGAAGUAAGCAUAAAGCUUAGUAAGUUUACUAGCAAAUAAAUAACAAUAUUUAACUUAAAUAAUUAAACUCAAUGUCUAUAUCUCUAGUUUACUCUUUAGUUAAUCUCAUACUAGUUCUCUUACUUGUUUACUUAGAAUAUUUGUGUGCAUAACUUACUCAAUCCUUGCUGCAUCGUUGAACAUCAAUUGAUAGUAUAAUAAGUUCUUAAGUCUUACAACUUACCUGAGCUUGCCAUUUAUGCUUUAAAAACAUGAUUCGUUUACAAGCCCGUUGAACUACAUUGGAAUAAUAAGGAUACUCGGGUCUCUUCUGAUAAUAACAUGCCAAAGCCAUGUCCCAGACAUGGUCUUACAUGGGAUGUUCUCGUGAUGGUGCCCAUGCCAUGUCCCAAACAUGGUCUUAUAGGGGACCUCUCAUCUCGGUGCCAACGCCAUGUCCCAGACAUGGUCUUACAUGGGACCUCUCGUCUCGGUGCCCAUGCCAUGUCCCAGACAUGGUCUUACAGGGGACCUCUCAUGAUCUUAAGGAUGCCAAUGCCAUGUCCCAGACAUGGUCUUACAUGGGAUCUCUUUACCCAAAUGUCAUGACAUUCGUAUCCAGUACCAUCCUUAUGUAUCAACGGGACUUUUAAAUUUUAAUUCUCUAUCAUUUCAUGCUUGGAUCAUCAUCAAAUAAAUUCAUAAAAUAAAUUCAUAAUUGCUGGAAAUUAACAGCAUUAAUAAUAAAUAUUGAAAUAUUGCAUUUAUUUACCGUAAACUUACCUCGGUACCAAUUAUAGCCAAAUUCACCAACUUAGUCUUCAACUUUAUUCUUCCCUUUGUCUAACCUCGAGUUUCGUACUUCUUGAUCUAAAAUAGUAAAUUUAACUUAUUUAAUAAUCACAUUCAUCAAAAUAGCCCUCGACUCUAACUUUUUCAAAAUUACAAUUUUGCCCCUAAACUUUUACAUAAUUACAUUUUUGCCCCAAGGCUCGGAAAUUAAACUUCAUCUCUUAUUCUUAUGUUUUAUAACAUUCUGAACAUUUUUCCCUUCUAUGGCAACAUCAAAUUCUAAUUUAAUCCCUUAUCAAUACUAAUUUUAUUUUUGCAUUCUAACUCUAUAUUCUCUCUUAAUUCUUACUAUAAAGUCAAUUUAAUUCCUCAAUUUCACCAUAAAUCCCUAAUUUCGGGAUUCUUUCAAUUUAAUCCCUAUCGAUUCAAAACUUAUAUUUUAUUUUACAAUUAUGUUCUUUACUAACUUCUAACUUGAAAUUAAAUCAAUUUAACCCCUAACUAAACCUAUAUAUUUUUCUUUCUCAAUUCAUACCCUUAUUCUACCCAAUUUCUUGCUAAACUCAUAUUUAACUAUUUAAUUUUUAUCAUGUUUUCAUAAUUUCGAAUUUAUUUCAAAUUAAUCCCUAAAAUUCAAAACUUAUAGUUUAGUUUACAAUUCAAUCCUUUAUUCAAUUCCAAUCAAAAUUUCUAUCAAAUACAUCCCUAAUUUAACAAUUUAUUCAACAUGAACCAUGCUUAAUAAUCUACUAACUUCCAAAAUUUCAACUUAAUCAAGUAGUAUUUUGUUCUAGGAUUUCAAAAAAAAUAUCAAAAUUAAGAGAAAAUGGGAUUAAAUUGACUUACCAAAUUACUUUGAACCUUAAAACCCCAAAUUUCCCUUUUUCUUUUCUUUUCUUUCUUUCUUUCUUUCCUUCCUUCCUUCUCUGUUUCGUUUUGCUCUCUGUUUCUUUCUUUCUCCCUUCUCUGUUUUGUUUUGCUCUCUGUUUCUUUUCUUUCUUUCUUUGUCAUAUAUAUAUAAUAAUAAUAUAAUAUAAUAUAAUAUAAUAUAUUAAUAAUAAUAUAAUAUAAAAACAUAAUUAUUACUUACGCAUGUAUAAUAUAAUAUAUAUUUUAAAUUAAAAAUAUCUUAGAUUUUUCUUUUGUUAUGCCGCCUCAACUUUAGAAAAAGGCAUAAUUGCCUAUUUGGUCCUUUAACUUUUCUUUAAUCUAUAAUUAAACUUUUAUCCUUACUUCAAUUUAGUCCUUUUUCAUAAUUAACUAUCAAAGCGUUAAAAUUUCUUAACGAAACUUUAAUAUUAUCCUGUUGACACUCCGUAAAUAUUUUUAUAAAUAUUUACGGCUCAGUUUAUAAUAUCGAGGUCUCGAUAUCUCGUUUUCGACCCAAUUUACCUAAUAAUUUCUUUUAAAUCACAAAAUUCACUGAUUUAAAAAAUAUUUCUAAAAUCACACUUAACUUAUAAUUAUUAAUUAAUAAAUUUUUCUAACUUUUUCAUCAAUUUUAGUGAUCUCAAAUCACUAUUCUGACACUACUAAAAUUUGGGCUGUUACAACUCUUCCCCCCUAAAAAAAAAAUUUCGUCCUCGAAAUUUCUCACCUGAUACAGGCUAUUAAGUCAAAUCUUUCUUCCACCCUUUCAAUCGAAGUCCAUAAAAAUUAAUCAUAACUCAUAUCACUUCCGAAAUCAUAUCAGAACUCAUUUUAGAACUUGAUACUAUGCCUGAACUUAACUGAGUAACUCUGAUGUUCUCUUGCCAUCACUUUUUCACUAGUAGUAUGACUACUAAGAAAUUUCCAGUAAUUGUCUGUCGAAACAUAACUGAGAAACUCGAAUUAUCUUAUUUAAUACCUUUGAACAAAGACCUUGGAAACCCAUCCAGCGAGAAGAAAACAGAUAAUUUAAACCCAUUGUGGAGACCCAAAAUAUAUUGAUUCCUUCACUGAUGAUUACUCAACUUUUCACUGAAUAACCCACUCUGAUUAGAACAACUGAGUCGAUUUUAUCUAUCAGAUAAUAACAUUUCAGAAUAAUCCAUUCUUCUUGUUGUCAAAACAAUCCAGAUAUACCAUAUAUCAUAAUCCUCUCGGAACACCAAUCGAAAAUUUCCACUAAUAGCAUUUAACUCAAACGAAUUUUGACAUUCCAUUAUUGACUUGUUGACAUAAUUUCAGAAUUACCUGAGAAAUGAAAACCAAAAUACAAGUUUGAGCUCAAUCUUCCUCCAUCUAUACUUUUGCCGAUGUCAACCCUUUCACGAAAACUAGAAAGGAAUUAUAUAUAUAAUAAAACUAUUUCAAUCAUUAACAUCGAAGCUUUGAACUAUACCGAAGCCACAACCAUCAAAUAGAUUAAAAACUAUAGAGCUAUACUAGGACCGACGUUCCAACUAUAUAGAUAGAACAAUACCUCAACAUCAAUAGUGCACUCCAAAAUAGAUGAAGAAAACCGAAGUAGUCCCAAUAACAACCAGUGCAGUAAUACAACUUCUAAAAUCUGAGAUCCAUAUCACCGAGUUCCCAUGAUCAAACCAAGAUUUAUAACAGUAAUAAAUAUAAUUACCUCCGGCCAAUGAAUAUCUUGUACGGAUAAACCAUGGUUAAUAGAUAAGAUUAGACCAUAAGAAUAAUAAGAAAACCGAGAUAAUAAAAUCCAAGAUGUGAAGCUAUACUAAAUUUCCGAUAAGAAAAAACCACAUUGAAUGAUAAAGAGAUCGAUGAUAUCCCAGAGAAAAUCCAAAAGAAGAAUAUCACUUGUAAAUCCAAAAGAAGAAUAUCACUUGUACGUACUAGGAAUAGUUGUGAUAAAGACUAUAUAAAUUCCAUAUAUAUAAUUCGGAGCUUCAACCAGUAGAAAUAGAAAAUAGCUUCAUAUGAGUCUUAUCAUCAAAUCUUCCAUCGAACAUAAUAGAUUAGAAAACCAAAGAAAGAUAGAGGAAUCCCGAUCAUGAAUCAACCAGACUAAUAAUAAUUUCGUCUAACAAUACGAUUAGCCAACCUUGCUAUAUGAUAAGAAUCAUAUAUGAAAAUAAAUAAUUGCAUAUACCUCUGAGGAUAAAAGAGCAUAUAGAAUACCCAUAUAGAAUACCCAGAAGAGAUCAUUGUAAAAUACUCGACUAUAACAACUGCAUUCAGAUAUGUUUGCAAUUUUCAACACAAUCCCACUGAUUACUAAAGUCAUCAAUAAUCUCACAUUAUCUCAAUCAUUAAAGAAAUCAAUUCAGAAGAAAUUCCGAUUAACCUGCUCUUUAAAUUUUAUACCUGAGUAAGUCGGUUACUCGUGAAUAGCUUCUUCCUUAAUAGCGACAUUGCAAAUCCCAAUAAUCAUUUAAAAAAAAUCUAAUAUCCUUUCUAGAACUCUCUUUACUUGCUAUCCCAUCCACAAUUCUGACUGCAUUAUUAUUCCUUCAAUUAUUGAACUCUUCAAUUUCACACUUGUAAACUUAAUGAAUACAAUUCUUGUAAAUUCCAUUGUUCAGGUGAGGGGGUGAAGGUCGUAAAGCCUCAAAAUUUGACUCUUAUAUAUAUACUUAUAUAUAUAUACACAUAACAUGACUUUUAUCGUCAAUAUAUUCAUUACAAACAUUCAUUUCAUACCUUAUAAAUCUUUACUCAUAUAGGCAACUCCCCUUUCUCUAUCAAAUACUCAAAUAUCACUUUCAUCACUGUCGGAACUAGAUCAAUUGGAGACAUUUUUGUCUAUUAGUAAAACAUUUCUCAUUUAUCAAGGUUACUCUUUUAAGUGUAUAAAUGUAUAUUUUCAUCCUUAUCUAUAAGAAUUACUAUUUUAAAUCUCCAUACAGAACUAAAUAACAUUUACUUAUUCACAACUUUAAAUUAUUUUAUUACAAAUACAUACUUCUUUAUUCACAGCUUUGUAACUUAUUUUUCCUUUAUAAUCAUUCAUCAUUGAAUCAAAGAUAAUCUUUUAUCUUGUAACAUUUUUUUUUUAGCAGAGGCCCAGUAGACGAAACAGAACACUUAAGAAAUAUGGGACUGAUAUAACAUCUGAUGGCACCGUCCCUUCUGCGGGAAUAGGUGCAUUACUCUCUACUUCAUCUGUACUAGCUCGUUCAGGAUCCAUAACUAUAAAAGAAAACAUUUUAAAAUCGUCAGGAGUCGUCACACUAUCAAAAUAUAUAAGUAUGGCAUGUAUAGGUAGACUCUUAUUCUUACUGAGUAUUUCCGAGAACCGACUAAACCUGCUCUGAUACCAAUAAAAUAUAACACCCCUUACCCGAGACCGUUUCCGGAAUCGAGCACGAGGCAUUACUUAGCUUAUCUUACCAAUUCGGAGCAUAAAAACUAGGUUUGAAAAUUUAUUUCAUUAUUCGCAGCAAAUCUGUCUAAUCGCGCAGCAGUUACUAAAUUAAUUAUAACUUGAGCUACAGAACUCGAAAUUUAAUCCCGUAAAUUUUCCAUGAAACUAGACUCAUAUAUAUACUCGCCAUAAAAUUUUUAGAAUUUUUGGUUCAGCAAAUUAGUACAGUUUAUUAGUUAAAGUCUCCCCUGUGUCACCACCAGACUGCCCUGACCUCUAGUCACUAAAAAUAAGUUUUCUCACUAUAGGAUUUUCAUAUGAAGUUCUUACUUGUUUCUAUAGAAAAUAGACUCAUUAAGAAAUCUAAGCAUGUAAAUUUCAACUCAUAACCAUUUUUUUACAAUUUUUUAUUAUUUUCUAAACUCAGAACAGGGGACUCCAAAAACAGUUCUGACCCUAUCUUACUAAAAUUCACAUAUCUUAAAAUAUAAAUUUCUUUUUUUCUACACCGUUAUUUUUCCAUGAAAAUAGACUCAACAAGCUUUAAUUCCAUAUAUCAUUCACCCUCUAAUUCAUUUUAUACUAUCUUGGGUGAUUUUUCAAAUUCACGUCACUGUGCUGCCUGAAUUCUGUUUCUUUGCAAAAUUUUAUCCUUUCAUGAUUUCCAUGCAUAAUUUAUCACCUAAUAUUUCAUAACAACAAACACCUUCAUCCUUAAUCAUUUUAAUAACCAUACAUCAUCAAAUACUUACACAUCACUCAUUAGCAAAAUCAUCACUACAAACAUACAAAAUAACUAAAUUCCUAUACAUGCCAUAACUUAAACGUGUUUCGAUAUAAAAUACCGAGCAGUUGUAGUUGAUAGUGUGGACGAUCUCCGACUUCUUUAGGAUCCUUGAAGUAGCUUUGCAAUACUAUAAGAGAAAGAAAUAAAAGAAGUAAGCAUAAAGCUUAGUAAGUUUACUAGCAAAUAAAUAACAAUAUUUAACUUAAAUAAUUAAACUCAAUGUCUAUAUCUCUAGUUUACUCUUUAGUUAAUCUCAUACUAGUUCUCUUACUUGUUUACUUAGAAUAUUUGUGUGCAUAACUUACUCAAUCCUUGCUGCAUCGUUGAACAUCAAUUGAUAGUAUAAUAAGUUCUUAAGUCUUACAACUUACCUGAGCUUGCCAUUUAUGCUUUAAAAACAUGAUUCGUUUACAAGCCCGUUGAACUACAUUGGAAUAAUAAGGAUACUCGGGUCUCUUCUGAUAAUAACAUGCCAAAGCCAUGUCCCAGACAUGGUCUUACAUGGGAUGUUCUCGUGAUGGUGCCCAUGCCAUGUCCCAAACAUGGUCUUAUAGGGGACCUCUCAUCUCGGUGCCAACGCCAUGUCCCAGACAUGGUCUUACAUGGGACCUCUCGUCUCGGUGCCCAUGCCAUGUCCCAGACAUGGUCUUACAGGGGACCUCUCAUGAUCUUAAGGAUGCCAAUGCCAUGUCCCAGACAUGGUCUUACAUGGGAUCUCUUUACCCAAAUGUCAUGACAUUCGUAUCCAGUACCAUCCUUAUGUAUCAACGGGACUUUUAAAUUUUAAUUCUCUAUCAUUUCAUGCUUGGAUCAUCAUCAAAUAAAUUCAUAAAAUAAAUUCAUAAUUGCUGGAAAUUAACAGCAUUAAUAAUAAAUAUUGAAAUAUUGCAUUUAUUUACCGUAAACUUACCUCGGUACCAAUUAUAGCCAAAUUCACCAACUUAGUCUUCAACUUUAUUCUUCCCUUUGUCUAACCUCGAGUUUCGUACUUCUUGAUCUAAAAUAGUAAAUUUAACUUAUUUAAUAAUCACAUUCAUCAAAAUAGCCCUCGACUCUAACUUUUUCAAAAUUACAAUUUUGCCCCUAAACUUUUACAUAAUUACAUUUUUGCCCCAAGGCUCGGAAAUUAAACUUCAUCUCUUAUUCUUAUGUUUUAUAACAUUCUGAACAUUUUUCCCUUCUAUGGCAACAUCAAAUUCUAAUUUAAUCCCUUAUCAAUACUAAUUUUAUUUUUGCAUUCUAACUCUAUAUUCUCUCUUAAUUCUUACUAUAAAGUCAAUUUAAUUCCUCAAUUUCACCAUAAAUCCCUAAUUUCGGGAUUCUUUCAAUUUAAUCCCUAUCGAUUCAAAACUUAUAUUUUAUUUUACAAUUAUGUUCUUUACUAACUUCUAACUUGAAAUUAAAUCAAUUUAACCCCUAACUAAACCUAUAUAUUUUUCUUUCUCAAUUCAUACCCUUAUUCUACCCAAUUUCUUGCUAAACUCAUAUUUAACUAUUUAAUUUUUAUCAUGUUUUCAUAAUUCCGAAUUUAUUUCAAAUUAAUCCCUAAAAUUCAAAACUUAUAGUUUAGUUUACAAUUCAAUCCUUUAUUCAAUUCCAAUCAAAAUUUCUAUCAAAUACAUCCCUAAUUUAACAAUUUAUUCAACAUGAACCAUGCUUAAUAAUCUACUAACUUCCAAAAUUUCAACUUAAUCAAGUAGUAUUUUGUUCUAGGAUUUCAAAAAAAAUAUCAAAAUUAAGAGAAAAUGGGAUUAAAUUGACUUACCAAAUUACUUUGAACCUUAAAACCCCAAAUUUCCCUUUUUCUUUUCUUUUCUUUCUUUCUUUCUUUCCUUCCUUCCUUCUCUGUUUCGUUUUGCUCUCUGUUUCUUUCUUUCUCCCUUCUCUGUUUUGUUUUGCUCUCUGUUUCUUUUCUUUCUUUCUUUGUCAUAUAUAUAUAAUAAUAAUAUAAUAUAAUAUAAUAUAAUAUAUUAAU